CCGUGACUCUCCCUGAACGCCUCUGCCUCAAAGACUACACUUCCCAUUGACCCCUGCAGUGACUUCCGCGUCUGGCGUCAGCGGCCCUGCGACGGGCGGUAGUGACGUGUCAGAGGAGCUCGAUUUUUGCUUGUGGUCCUGGCUGGCGGUUUCUGUACCAGACUUCUUCUUGGUUUAUUCUUGCUGCAGCUGUGGGGUUGGAUACCUGCGCCCGUACUCUGAAGAGCUCUCCUCAGCUGAGCACAUGGAACAUCUGCAAUGAAGAUGCUCAUCAGAAAGCCCAGGACAUAAGCUUCAAAAUCCCAGUCUGUACCCCUUCUUCCACCUCUCCCCAGGAAACAGACCUUCCUGCUCAUUAGCUUGGGAAAUGUACACUGGCCAAGGAAUUCUUCUCAUGAAUCGCUUAAGGAAUGCACUGGGGCUGAAGUGUAAAAGUCACUCUUUAAAUUUAAUCUUAUUUAUUGGUACUGGGGAUUGAAGCACUGAGCUACAUCCCCAAUUCUUUUCAUUUUUAAUUUUGAGACAGUCACACCCUGAGAAGUGAGUUGCUGAGGCUGGCCUAGAACUUGAAAUUCCCACCUCGGGCUGGGGAUGUGGCUCAAGCGGUAGCGCGCRGCCAUGCUUGCGGCCUGGGUUCAAUCCUCAGCACCACAUACAAAGGAAGAUGUGUCUGCCGAAAACUAAAAGAAUAAAUAUUUUUAAAAAUUCUCUCUCUCUCUUAAA
RNAcentral lists this long non-coding RNA (723 nucleotides) under Urocitellus parryii (Arctic ground squirrel). Its description in RNAcentral is "lncRNA (ENSUPAG00010003912.1)". Lineage: Eukaryota; Metazoa; Chordata; Mammalia; Rodentia; Sciuridae. The record is from RNAcentral.